UGGGGAAUAUUGGACAAUGGGCGCAAGCCUGAUCCAGCAAUGCCGCGUGCGUGAAGAAGGCCUUUGGGUUGUAAAGCACUUUUAUCAGGAGCGAAACGCUGUCGGCUAAUACCCGGCGGAACUGACGGUACCUGAGGAAUAAGCACCGGCUAACUUCGUGCCAGCAGCCGCGGUAAUACGAAGGGUGCAAGCGUUAAUCGGAAUUACUGGGCGUAAAGCGUGCGUAGGCGGUUUCUUAAGUCUGCUGUGAAAUCCCCGGGCUCAACCUGGGAAUGGCAGUGGAUACUGGGAGGCUAGAGUGUGUCAGAGGGUGGUGGAAUUCCCGGUGUAGCGGUGAAAUGCGUAGAGAUCGGGAGGAACAUCAGUGGCGAAGGCGGCCACCUGGGACAACACUGACGCUGAGGCACGAAAGCGUGGGGAGCAAACAGGAUUAGAUACCCUGGUAGUCCACGCCCUAAACGAUGCGAACUGGAUGUUGGUCUCAACUCGGAGAUCAGUGUCGAAGCUAACGCGUUAAGUUCGCCGCCUGGGGAGUACGGUCGCAAGACUGAAACUCAAAGGAAUUGACGGGGUCAUAGCUGUUUCCUG
This 588-nucleotide ribosomal RNA is filed under the name uncultured bacterium. RNAcentral describes it as "partial 16S ribosomal RNA". It matches the Rfam family "Bacterial small subunit ribosomal RNA", at positions 355 to 1376 of the family's 1533-position model. The record is from RNAcentral.